Molecule: ribosomal RNA, 433 nt
Filed under: uncultured bacterium
Lineage: Bacteria
Description: partial 16S ribosomal RNA
Rfam family: Bacterial small subunit ribosomal RNA
Source: RNAcentral
AACGAACGCUGGCGGCAUGCCUAACACAUGCAAGUCGAACGAGACCUUCGGGUCUAGUGGCGCACGGGUGCGUAACGCGUGGGAACCUGCCCUUAGGUUCGGAAUAACUCCCCGAAAGGGGUGCUAAUACCGGAUAAUGUCUUCGGACCAAAGAUUUAUCGCCUUUGGAUGGGCCCGCGUUGGAUUAGCUAGUUGGUAGGGUAAACGCCUACCAAGGCGACGAUCCAUAGCUGGUCUGAGAGGAUGAUCCGCCACACUGGGACUGGGACACGGCCCAGACUCCUGCGGGAUGCAGCAGUGGGGAAUACUGGACAGUGGGCGAAAGCCUGAUCCACCAAUGCCGCGUGAGUGAUGAAGGCCUUAGGGUUGUACAGCUCUUUUAUCCGGGAUGAUAAUGACAGUACCGGGAGAAUAAGCACCGGCUAACUCCGUG